RNAcentral lists this transfer RNA (65 nucleotides) under Donax trunculus (truncated wedgeshell). RNAcentral's name for it is "tRNA-Thr". It matches the Rfam family "tRNA". Rfam says of the family: Transfer RNA (tRNA) molecules are approximately 80 nucleotides in length. The record is from RNAcentral. Lineage: Eukaryota; Metazoa; Mollusca; Bivalvia; Cardiida; Donacidae.
GGCUGAAUAGCUUAAUUUAGAGCGGUGGUUUUGUAAUCCACAGGUGUAUAGUAUUACUUCAACCU